GGGGCUGUUCUGGUUUUGACAGCAUUGACGACGAAAGGUAAGCACGCCGGGCGUAGGCAGCUGGCCCGUUAAUCCCAGAUGUCAAAAAAUUAGUAGGCAACUACAACUAUUCAUACGCUUGCUAAUCUCCAAGAGAUCUAGCAUUAACCGUAUCCGCCAAGGCUGCGGAUCGGCGUAUAUCCCUCCGGCAUUAAGCCGCCUCUGUCCGGAUCAAGGGGUAUCAUUCAAGGCGGAUGCUUGCGACCGCCGCCUCCACGUCGCACUAAGAUUCAGAGGAUAAGCUUCGGCUAAGGGUGCCUUCCCUCGUACCGCGGCCCACAAUUAAAGGAAGGAUAAGCGUGUAGAAAGCCUCUUGGCGCUUUGUUUGGACGCGGGUUCGACUCCCGCCAGCUCCACGA
Molecule: transfer-messenger RNA, 398 nt
Filed under: Bacteroidales
Lineage: Bacteria; Pseudomonadati; Bacteroidota; Bacteroidia
Also listed under: 1 other name
Description: Cryptobacteroides sp017651785 Standard tmRNA
Rfam family: transfer-messenger RNA
About the family: Bacterial tmRNA, also known as 10Sa RNA or SsrA, is named for its dual tRNA and mRNA-like properties.
Source: RNAcentral